This 253-nucleotide ribosomal RNA is filed under the name uncultured bacterium. Its description in RNAcentral is "partial 16S ribosomal RNA". It matches the Rfam family "Bacterial small subunit ribosomal RNA", at positions 524 to 776 of the family's 1533-position model. The record is from RNAcentral.
UACGGAGGGUGCGAGCGUUGUCCGGAAUCACUGGGCGUAAAGGGCGCGUAGGCGGCGCAACAAGUCAACGGUGAAAGCCUGGGGCUCAACCCCGGGUCGGCCGUCGAGACUGUUGUGCUCGAGCACUGUAGAGGCAGGUGGAAUUCCGGGUGUAGCGGUGGAAUGCGUAGAGAUCCGGAAGAACACCGGUGGCGAAGGCGGCCUGCUGGGCAGUAGCUGACGCUGAUGCGCGACAGCGUGGGGAGCAAACAGG